RNAcentral lists this ribosomal RNA (232 nucleotides) under uncultured bacterium. Its description in RNAcentral is "partial 16S ribosomal RNA". It matches the Rfam family "Bacterial small subunit ribosomal RNA", at positions 99 to 334 of the family's 1533-position model. The record is from RNAcentral.
CGGACGGGUGAGUAAUGUCUGGGAAACUGCCUGAUGGAGGGGGAUAACUACUGGAAACGGUAGCUAAUACCGCAUAACGUCGCAAGACCAAAGAGGGGGACCUUAGGGCCUCUUGCCAUCGGAUGUGCCCAGAUGGGAUUAGCUAGUAGGUGGGGUAACGGCUCACCUAGGCGACGAUCCCUAGCUGGUCUGAGAGGAUGACCAGCCACACUGGAACUGAGACACGGUCUAG